This 674-nucleotide ribosomal RNA is filed under the name Rhodospirillales bacterium. RNAcentral describes it as "bacterial SSU rRNA". It matches the Rfam family "Bacterial small subunit ribosomal RNA", at positions 1 to 706 of the family's 1533-position model. The record is from RNAcentral. Lineage: Bacteria; Pseudomonadati; Pseudomonadota; Alphaproteobacteria; Rhodospirillales.
UCAACUUGAGAGUUUGAUCCUGGCUCAGAACGAACGCUGGCGGUAGGCCUAACACAUGCAAGUCGAACGAAGGCCCGGAGCUUGCUCCGGUGUCCUUAGUGGCGGACGGGUGAGUAACGCGUGGGAAUUUGCCUUUCAGUACGGAAUAACUCCGGGAAACCGGUGCUAAUACCGUAUACGCCCUACGGGGGAAAGAUUUAUCGCUGAAAGAUGAGCCCGCGUCUGAUUAGCUUGUUGGUGAGGUAAUGGCUCACCAAGGCGACGAUCAGUAGCUGGUUUGAGAGGAUGAUCAGCCACACUGGAACUGAGACACGGUCCAGACUCCUACGGGAGGCAGCAGUGGGGAAUAUUGAACAAUGGGGGAAACCCUGAUCCAGCCAUACCGCGUGAGUGAUGAAGGCCUUAGGGUUGUAAAGCUCUUUCAGUGGGGAAGAUGAUGACGGUACCCACAGAAGAAGCCCCGGCUAACUCCGUGCCAGCAGCCGCGGUAAUACGGAGGGGGCAAGCGUUGUUCGGAAUUACUGGGCGUAAAGCGCGCGUAGGCGGUUUGUUUAGUUAGGCGUGAAAGCCCCGGGCUCAACCCGGGAACUGCGCUUAAUACUGGCAAACUAGAGUUCGGGAGAGGAGAGUGGAAUUUCCAGUGUAGAGGUGAAAUUCGUAGAUAUUGGAAAGAA